AGAUUGAACGCUGGCGGCAGGCCAACACAUGCAAGUCGAGCGGCAGCACGGGUACUUGUACCUGGUGGCGAGCGGCGGACGGGUGAGUAAUGCCUAGGAAUCUGCCUGGUAGUGGGGGGAUAACGCUCGGAAACGGACGCUAAUACCGCAUACGUCCUACGGGAGAAAGCAGGGGACCUUCGGGCCUUGCGCUAUCAGAUGAGCCUAGGUCGGAUUAGCUAGUGGUGAGGUAAUGGCUCACCAAGGCGACGAUCCGGUAACUGGUCUGGAGAGGAUGAUCAGUCACACUGGAACUGACGACACGGUCCAGACUCCGUACGGGAGGCAGCAGGUGGGAAUAUUGGAACAAGUGGGACAAAGCCUGAUCCAGCCAGUCGCCGCGUGUGUCGAAGUAAGGUC
RNAcentral lists this ribosomal RNA (399 nucleotides) under uncultured soil bacterium. Its description in RNAcentral is "bacterial SSU rRNA". It matches the Rfam family "Bacterial small subunit ribosomal RNA", at positions 26 to 417 of the family's 1533-position model. The record is from RNAcentral.